GGCGGUCAGCGUCCAGGGCAAGCGACAUGGACUGGCCUGGCUGUCGCUGACCCAGGGCGAGAUCGGCCUGGCC
RNAcentral lists this non-coding RNA (73 nucleotides) under Chroomonas cf. mesostigmatica. The record is from RNAcentral. Lineage: Eukaryota; Cryptophyceae; Pyrenomonadales; Chroomonadaceae.